RNAcentral lists this ribosomal RNA (656 nucleotides) under Pseudophacidium ledi. RNAcentral's name for it is "eukaryotic LSU rRNA". It matches the Rfam family "Eukaryotic large subunit ribosomal RNA", at positions 87 to 760 of the family's 3401-position model. Lineage: Eukaryota; Fungi; Ascomycota; Leotiomycetes; Rhytismatales; Ascodichaenaceae. The record is from RNAcentral.
CGGCGAGUGAAGCGGCAACAGCUCAAAUUUGAAAUCUGGCCCUUUCAGGGUCCGAGUUGUAAUUUGUAGAGGAUGUUUCGGGUGUGGCUCCGGUCUAAGUUCCUUGGAACAGGACGUCAUAGAGGGUGAGAAUCCCGUAUGUGACUGGUAGCCUACGCUCAUGUGAAACUCCUUCGACGAGUCGAGUUGUUUGGGAAUGCAGCUCAAAAUGGGUGGUAAAUUUCAUCUAAAGCUAAAUAUUGGCCAGAGACCGAUGGCGCACAAGUAGAGUGAUCGAAAGAUGAAAAGCACUUUGGAAAGAGAGUUAAACAGUACGUGAAAUUGUUGAAAGGGAAGCGCUUGCAACCAGACUUGCAUGUAGCUGAUCAACCGGUGUUCUCACCGGUGCACUCAGUUACGUUCAGGCCAGCAUCGGUUUCCACGGUUGGAUAAAGGCCUUGGGAAUGUAGCUCCUCUCGGGGAGUGUUAUAGCCCAGGGUGCAAUGCAGCCUGUUGGGACCGAGGACCGCGCUUCGGCUAGGAUGCUGGCGUAAUGGUUGUAAGCGACCCGUCUUGAAACACGGACCAAGGAGUCUAACAUCUAUGCGAGUGUUUGGGUGUCAAACCCAUACGCGUAAUGAAAGUGAACGGAGGUGAGAACCCUUAAGGGUGCAUCA